This is an RNA transcript of Cannabis sativa, 4952 nucleotides long. RefSeq lists it as uncharacterized. Lineage: Eukaryota; Viridiplantae; Streptophyta; Magnoliopsida; Rosales; Cannabaceae. The transcript is spliced from 26 exons. The record is from RefSeq and is a predicted model, not a curated record.
AUUCUCCCUCCAAAAUUUUGUCUCCUCCAACUCCCACUCCUCACUCUGCCGUCCGCCUUCCUAAUUACUUAUUAUUAUUUAUUUCAAAAAAACAAAAUGAGAGAGAGAAAAGCUCACACAAAGCUCUGAAUCUCAUUCCUUACCUUUCUUCUUCUUCUUUGAUCAGCCAUGUCCUUCUCCUCCAUCAUCGCACCACUCUCUUCCGGCCUCGCUGUACUUCCUCGCUCCGGAAACCAUGUUCCUCACGACUUGGUUUUGUUGAGAUUGGCCUCUCAUCACUCUCAAUUCAGACAUGUUUCUUUUCCGAUAGCUAGGGUUAGUGUCCGAGUUCCACGCGCCUCCUCGGUGGUGGUUGAUGAUCAAGUGGCGGAGAGAAACGGGGAAUGGAAAGAGAAAGGAGGAGUUCUUAGAGUUGGAGUUGUUUGCGGUGGUCCUUCUGCUGAGCGAGGGAUUUCUCUUAAUUCAGCUAGAUCAGUUAUUGAUCACAUACAGGGUGAUGAUUUGCAUGUCAGUUGCUACUACAUUGAUUGUGAUUAUAAUGCGUAUGCAAUAUCAUCUGCUCAGGUAUACUCAAACACUCCAUCAGAUUUUGACUUUAAACUUGAAAGCCUUGCCCAGGGUUUCCAGUCUUUGUCUGAUUUUGCUGAACAUCUAGCUGCCUCUGUGGACAUAGUGUUCCCUGUUAUACACGGUCAAUUUGGUGAAGAUGGUGGCAUUCAGGAGUUGCUGGAAAAAUAUAAUAUUCCUUUUGUUGGCACAGGUUCGAGUGAGUGUCGUCAGGCAUUUGAUAAAUACAAUGCCUCAUUGGAACUCAGCAGACAAGGCUUCGUCACAGUACCUAGCUAUUUAGUGCAGAACAAUGAAGCAAAUGAAUAUGAACUGUCAGAGUGGUUUGCAAGAAAUCAGCUGGACGCUAAUUCAGGAAAAGUUGUGGUAAAACCAGCACGAGCAGGUUCAAGCCUUGGUGUUAAAGUUGCAUAUGGUGUGGAUGAUUCUCUUAAGAAGGCUGAGGCAAUUAUAUCAGAGGGAAUUGAUAAUAAAGUCCUAAUUGAAGUAUUUCUUGAAGGAGGGAGUGAAUUUACAGCAAUUGUUCUUGAUGUUGGGUCUGGUUUAGAUUGCCAACCUGUUGUACUUCUGCCAACUGAGGUGGAGCUUCAAUUUCAUGGUGAAGUUGAUGUGAGAGAGAAGGAUGCAAUUUUCAACUAUAGGAGGAAGUAUCUCCCAACACAGCAGGUUGCUUAUCAUACGCCACCUCGUUUUCCUAUUGAUGUUAUUGAAACUAUUAGAGAGGGAGCAUCUCUUUUGUUCCAACAACUAGGUUUACGUGAUUUUGCACGAAUUGAUGGGUGGUUUUUGCCUAAUUCUGUUAACGUAUCAUCAUUUUCAGAGAGUAAUUUUGGGAGGACUAAAUUCGGUACAAUAGUAUUUACUGACAUAAACCUGAUUAGUGGAAUGGAGCAGACCAGCUUUUUAUUUCAACAAGCUUCCAAGGUUGGGUUUUCCCAUUCAAACAUUCUUCGGGGCAUCAUUUACCGUGCCUGCUCACGGUUUCUUGAACUUGCAUCAUUCAAAAGUGUAUCAUCUCAUCUUUUGCCUAAAAGAACAAAACCAUCCCUGCUUAGCGAGCCGCUUCCAAAACGUGAAGGUGCUCGCAAAGUAUUUGUCAUUUUUGGAGGAGACACAUCAGAGCGACAAGUAUCUCUUAUGAGUGGUACAAAUGUUUGGCUCAAUUUGCAAGCUUUUGAUGAUCUUGAAGUGAUUCCGUGUUUGCUAGCUCCUACUUCUGGAUAUUCAGCUAUUGUAGAUUCAAACGAGAAGGAUGCUGAAGUAAGAUCCAGGACAGUUUGGUCACUUCCUUACUCUCUCGUUCUAAGACACACAACAGAGGAAGUUCUUGGUGCAUGCAUAGAAGCAAUUGAACCAGCCCGGGCUGCAUUGACAUCUCACCUACGUAACAAAGUGAUGAAAGAUCUUAUGGAAGGUCUUAAGGCUCAUAGCUGGUUUAAAGGGUUUGAUAUUAGUGAUGAACCUCCAGUGAGAUUUUCUUUGGAGCAGUGGAUCAAACAUGCCAAGGAAGUUCAGGCUACAGUGUUCAUUGCAGUGCAUGGAGGCAUUGGUGAAGAUGGUAGGCUUCAAUCAUUGCUGGAGGAUGAGGGGGUUCCUUAUACAGGUCCGGGAGUGAUAGCUUCAAAGACUUGUAUGGAUAAAGUUGCAACAUCUCUUUCUCUUAGCCAUCUUUCAAAGUCUGGAGUUCUUACCAUAAAUAAAGAGGUACGAAGAAAAGAGGAACUUCUGAGAAGCCCUAGGCUAGAAAUGUGGCAUGAUUUGACCACAAAGCUUCAUUGCAAAACACUAUGUGUUAAACCAGCAAGAGAUGGAUGCUCGACAGGGGUUGCAAGGUUAUGCUGUGCAGAAGACCUAGCAGUGUAUAUAGAUGUAUUGAGGGAGAGCCUUUUAAGGAUUCCUCCAAAUAGUUUGUCAAAGGCUCACGGGACGAUUGAGAUGCCAAAUCCUCCUCCAGAACUCUUGAUCUUUGAACCUUUUAUUGAGACUGAUGAGAUAAUCAUUUCAUCUAAAUCUACUGAUGAAUAUCUACACCGACUCAAGUGGAAAGGACAGAGUAGAUGGGUGGAAGUAACUGUUGGUGUUAUAGGAAAAUGUGGAUCUAUGCGUUCUCUGAGUCCUAGUAUCACUGUUAAGGAAAGUGGUGAUAUUUUAUCACUGGAGGAGAAAUUUCAAGGUGGAACUGGCAUCAAUCUGACUCCACCUCCGUUAUCCAUUAUCAGCGAUGAGGCAUUAACGAGAUGUAAACAGCGUAUUGAACUAAUUGCAAACACACUGCAACUAGAAGGAUUUUCACGAAUUGAUGCAUUUGUAAAUGCAGACAGUGGAGAGGUGUUGAUUAUAGAAGUCAAUACUGUUCCUGGAAUGACUCCUUCUACUGUUCUGAUUCAUCAGGCAUUAUCGGAGGAACCUCCAAUGUAUCCUCACAAAUUCUUUCGUACACUACUUGAUUUGGGUUCAGAGAGGUCUUUGUAAUUGUAAACGUACCAGUUCCGCUAUUGCUUCUUCAGGAUGCUUUUCUAUCUGAACCAAAUGCAAGAACCACCCCAACAGCACAAGACCAAAACGAAAGGGACUCGAAAAAUUACCAGCAAAGAAGAUGAGCAGAUUAUGGAGAGCAAGGAUUAUUAUCCACCAUAAUCAUUCCUCAGGUUUUGAAGGUCUGGAGAAAUUGUCAAUUGGAUAGGGCUUUUGGAUUUUUUUCUUGAAUGAUAGUAAAGCUGUCAAUAUUAAGAAGCCCUAUUAAGAAAACUGCAGUGGUUUUGAGCUUUUUGGGCUUAAAAUUUAUUGCAAUUUGAAGUACUGAUUCAGUUACUUCAACCAUGAAUGGGGGUGACUUGACAACAGUUCCAGAUAGUCUAGUUUCUCCAUCACCCAAGUUCCUGAAAAUUGCAGAUGAAAGAGAAGAAAUCUCGGGUUUUAGAGGACAUUUCAAUCGGAUUGCUUCUCAUAAAGUUGAUUGGGAAACUUUGAAGAAAUGCAGCAAAAUAUGGAUCAAGAACCCUCUGAAUAUGGCCCUUCUUUUAUGGAUUACCUGUGUUGCUAUCUCAGGAGCAAUUCUUUUUCUCGUAAUGACAGGAAUGUUAAACAAUGUCCUGACUAAGAAAUCCGAAAGAGAUGCUUGGUUCGAGGUCAGUAAUCAAAUCAUCAAUGCUCUUUUCACUCUCAUGAGUUUGUACCAACACCCAAAGCGUUUCCACCACCUUGUUCUUCUGUGUAGGUGGAAACCAAAGGAUGUAUCAAUGCUCAGAAAGAUUUACAGCAAAAAUGGUACUUAUAAGCCUCAUGAAAGGGCUCAUAUGCUGGUUGUUAUUGUACUACUUCAUGUGAAUUGCUUUGCUCAAUAUGCCUUAUGUGGUCUCAACUUAGGAUACAAAAAAUUUGAAAGGCCUAAUAUAGGUGUUGUUAUCUGCCUUGUUAUAGCAAUGGCAGCCCAAGCAAUUGCAGGUGUUUACUGUAUUGUAAGUCCUCUUGGAAAGGAGUAUAAUUUCGAAUUCGAUGAAGAAGCACAGGAUCAAAAACUCACCAAUGGUGUUCCUCAGUUGAAGAGCUCAAGUUUUAUCCCCUUAGAGAAUGAACCUGAAUGGAAAGGGGGGUUACUUGAUUUAACCAACGAUGGUGUUUCAAUGACAAAUCUCUAUCUGUUAUGCGGUUUUUGUGUGUUUGGAUAUAACAUGGAAAGACUUGGAUUUGGUAACAUGUAUGUUCAUAUUGCAACUUUUUUCCUCUUCUGCACAGCUCCAUUGUUGAUCUUCGGCUUGGCUGCCACUCACUUUGAUAAUGUCACAAUAAGGGAAGCUCUUGGUGUAACCGGUAUUGUGCUGUGCGUGUUUGGUUUACUCUAUGGCGGUUUCUGGAGAAUCCAAAUGAGGAAGAAAUUUAACUUACCGUCGAAUCGCUUGUGUUGUGGUAACCCUGCAGUUACAGAUUGUGCUCAGUGGCUUUGCUGUUGUUGGUGUUCUCUUGCUCAAGAAUUUCGAACAGCGAAUCAUUAUGACAUGGUGGACAAUAAGUUCCGCCAGCGUGCUGCUGUCUCGCCUUUACAAGAUGGCGAUGACAGAGCGAUUCAAUUAAGCAUUUCUAGCCCUUCCAUUCUUGUUGGGGAAGAAGGCUGUUUGCAGAGUCCAAUGGUUAAAGACAUAGUUAUUAUAAACAACCCUAUGAAGCCACCUGUAGUACCAUCAACAAUUCAAAGAGAAGAUAUUACCAUUUUGUAGUGAUAUUAUUGUAAUGAGCUUUAGAAUUUUGUACCUUAAAGUGUUUAAUAUUAUAUUGACAUGACACUGUAUAAUUGGUUAGCAGUUUCUUAUAUAAUUUAUUAAAUUAAAAUGUAUAAAAUUCAAUAUUAAAGUGAACUAAUAACAAUAUGUCAUCCUGUAUGGUGUUUA